CGAAACGAGGCGUCGCUUCCAUUGGUAGCGACGACUCUUGACAGAGCAGUGGAGGGGAAGGGAGCGGACGUGACUUUUCCUCCCGCACGCGCACGAGAGACGGCGUCUCUUAUGCAUGCGUGCAGGAAGAGUCGGGAUCUCGCACCGAUGAGUAAUGGCUUUGUGAGCGCAAGGCCUCCUGCACGAAUAUAAUCCAUCACCAUCAGUCGAGGCAGUAACACGCGGACACGAAAUCUUCCGAGCAAAAAGGACAAACGUUGCGUCACGGCCCAGCCGCAUCUGUCACCGCAGGAGGCCGUUGUGGUGAUACAAAGUGGCGAGGCUCAGCGGUAUUUCCACGCGGACAAGAUCUCCCCUCCUCGAGUGACGAGGGCGAUAGAUCACACCUCGAUCACACGCACCUGCACUCUGCCAUGCUGCCCGAGCAGGAGCCGGUCACAACCUGGCACGGAGCAGGUGAGAGGUGAACCGGUUACCGGAACGUGGCACGCCACGUGGGUAAGAGGAAUGGGGUCGCCGCUGGGCUCUCAGUCAGAUACGGCCUGUGUUGGGCUUCAGCUCUCACCGCACUUUAAACAAACAAACAAAAAAGAUCUUCUUGGUUCUUUCGGUAAAGUCACGUAGAAUGGAAAUAAAAAAAAAUAAAAAAAAUCAAACAUAAUAAAAUAAUUCUCACGACGUUUCGGCCACAACGCAAGCAGCCGUCCGUCCUCAGGUGGAGAACAGGUCUGUCGAGAAGACAGAGCCUGUCGUCGUGAGAAUUAUUUUAUUAUGUUUUAUUUGUAUUAUUUUAUUAGUUCCAUUCUACGUGGCUUUACCGAAAGAACCAAGAAGAUGAAUCCCUGCAGUCACGAAAGCGUUAAAUCGAAACAAAAAAGAGUCCACGAUGAC
Long non-coding RNA from Lethenteron reissneri (Far Eastern brook lamprey), 891 nucleotides. RefSeq lists it as uncharacterized. The record is from RefSeq and is a predicted model, not a curated record. NCBI's taxonomy places the organism in Eukaryota, Metazoa, Chordata, Hyperoartia, Petromyzontiformes, Petromyzontidae.